RNAcentral lists this long non-coding RNA (364 nucleotides) under Physcomitrium patens. Its description in RNAcentral is "long non-coding RNA (PPAT_LNC002746)". Lineage: Eukaryota; Viridiplantae; Streptophyta; Bryopsida; Funariales; Funariaceae. The record is from RNAcentral.
AAUUAGACCAUAAUAAUGCUAAGCAAGCUUAAUCAAAUUCAAAAAACCUCAAGAAAUUUCAAACAAACAAUAAGAAUUCUUAAAGAAAUAUUAGAAGGAUCACAAAUAUCACUCAAAUACAUCUCAAUUCAAUCUUAAUUUAAUUCUCAUUAAAAUCCUAUUGAACUUCAUUCAAACUUUAGGCCAAACCUAAUUAAAUCUUAAAUCCUAAUAAAAUCCUAAACCCUAAAUCAAACCCUAAACAAAUCUUAAAUCAAACCCCAACAAAAUCCUAAAUCAAAUUCUAAUCGAACCCUAAUCAAAUCCUAAACCAAUUUCUAAAUCCUAAAUCAAAUCCUAACCAAAUCCUAAUCCAAAUCCUAAA